Molecule: non-coding RNA, 276 nt
Organism: Dipodomys ordii (Ord's kangaroo rat)
Lineage: Eukaryota; Metazoa; Chordata; Mammalia; Rodentia; Heteromyidae
Source: Ensembl
CGUCUGUAGUCUUGGAGCCUGCGCUGGGUUGGCUGUACCCCAGAGCACCCCAGACUUGCAGAAAAAGCAUGCACCAGAGGAAGCUGAGGCGUGGCCACUGGAGAGCCUGCAGUGACACGUGCAAUUUUCCUCUGAUAGUUCUGGGUACUGUUGCCACGGUGAUAGUGACUGUCUGUGUCAUUAUCUAUCCACCAACAGUGAGAGGAAGCUGUGCAGUCGAGAUAUUGUUUAGCAGACCAAGUGGCUUCUGUUGGACACUUAAGUACUGCUACAAAC